UGGACAUAAUACACAUGUUUGUAAACUCGGCCAAAAGGCCUAGAGAUCCCAAGGAAUGAACUGUUAGUAUUAAGGUUUUCCCUUUAUGUUAUUUUGCCCAGUAUACUGUACUACCCUGUUUUUAAAUACCUUUGAAUGUUUUGCAGUGUACCUCUAUUUUAAAUAUGUAUUGUAGAUCCUUUAAUCCCCUUGCUCUUUAUUGUAAAAUGUUUUAUUUCCCAAUCAAUAAAUCCACCCGACUGUGAUGGCCAAGCAACACCCGACGGCUGUGAGAGUAGCGAUACAGAAUCUCGUUCCGGAUCCAUAUGUCGUGUCAUUUAAAGUUCUGAUUGGACAAGUAAUAACCGGACUUGCCACAGGUGGACGGGCCACCUUUACUUAACCCGGAAAAGAGACAGUCUCGUCUGUCUUAGUAAUAGUCAAAAGCCUCGUCAUCUAAUUAGUGACGCGCAUGAAUGGAUGAACGAGAUUCCCACUGUCCCUACCUACUAUCCAGCAAAACCACAGCCAAGGGAACGGACUUGACGGAAUCAGGGGGGAAAGAAGAGUUGUUGAGCUGUUGAGCUUGACUCUAGUCUGGCGCUGUGAAGAGACAUGAGAGGUGUAGAAUAAGUGGGAGGCCAGGCACGCGCUCGGCCAGUCGGUGUCCCGGUCGUCGGUGAAAUACCACUACUCUGAGAAUCAGUCCUCGACACAAGCUUUUGUCUCU
This 709-nucleotide non-coding RNA is filed under the name Colius striatus (speckled mousebird). Its description in RNAcentral is "Eukaryotic large subunit ribosomal RNA". It matches the Rfam family "Eukaryotic large subunit ribosomal RNA", at positions 1971 to 2536 of the family's 3401-position model. The record is from Rfam by way of RNAcentral. Lineage: Eukaryota; Metazoa; Chordata; Aves; Coliiformes; Coliidae.